Molecule: ribosomal RNA, 439 nt
Filed under: uncultured bacterium
Lineage: Bacteria
Description: partial 16S ribosomal RNA
Rfam family: Bacterial small subunit ribosomal RNA
Source: RNAcentral
CCUACGGGAGGCAGCAGUGGGGGAUAUUGCACAAUGGGGGGAACCCUGAUGCAGCGACGCCGCGUGGGUGAAGGAGCGUUUCGGCGCGUAAAGCUCUAUCGGCAGGGAAGAAGAUGACGGUACCUGACCAAGAAGCCCCGGCUAACUACGUGCCAGCAGCCGCGGUAAUACGUAGGGGGCAAGCGUUAUCCGGAUUUACUGGGUGUAAAGGGGGCGCAGACGGCAAUGCAAGUUGAAUGUUUAAGGUACGGGCUCAACCUGUGCAAGCGUUUAAAACUGUUUUUCUUGAGUGGAGGAGAGGUAAGCGGAAUUCCUAGUGUAGCGGUGAAAUGCGUAAAUAUUAGGAGGAACACCAGUGGCGAAGGCGGCUUACUGGGCUUUAACUGACGCUGAGGCUCGAAAGCGUGGGUAGCAAACAGGAUUAGAUACCCCAGUAGUC